RNAcentral lists this non-coding RNA (45 nucleotides) under Schistosoma mansoni. The record is from RNAcentral. Lineage: Eukaryota; Metazoa; Platyhelminthes; Trematoda; Strigeidida; Schistosomatidae.
AUCCAGCUGAUGAGUCCCAAAUAGGACGGAACAUGAGUCCUGAAU